GACAGCAGUAGCCGCGGGAAUACGGAGGGUGCAAGCGUUAAUCGGAAUUACUGGGCGUAAAGCGCACGCAGGCGGUUUGUUAAGUCAGAUGUGAAAUCCCCGAGCUUAACUUGGGAACUGCAUUUGAAACUGGCAAGCUAGAGUCUUGUAGAGGGGGGUAGAAUUCCAGGUGUAGCGGUGAAAUGCGUAGGGAUCUGGAGGAAUACCGGUGGCGAAGGCGGCCCCCUGGACAAAGACUGACGCUCAGGUGCGAAAGCGUGGGGAGCAAACAGGAUUAGAUACCCGGGUAGUCCCUGUCUCUUAUAC
Molecule: ribosomal RNA, 306 nt
Filed under: uncultured bacterium
Lineage: Bacteria
Description: partial 16S ribosomal RNA
Rfam family: Bacterial small subunit ribosomal RNA
Source: RNAcentral